RNAcentral lists this ribosomal RNA (799 nucleotides) under Glutamicibacter soli. Its description in RNAcentral is "bacterial SSU rRNA". It matches the Rfam family "Bacterial small subunit ribosomal RNA", at positions 103 to 914 of the family's 1533-position model. Lineage: Bacteria; Bacillati; Actinomycetota; Actinomycetes; Micrococcales; Micrococcaceae. The record is from RNAcentral.
CGGGUGAGUAACACGUGAGUAACCUGCCCCUGACUCUGGGAUAAGCCCGGGAAACUGGGUCUAAUACCGGAUAUGACUUUUGACCGCAUGGUUGAGGGUGGAAAGAUUUAUCGGUUGGGGAUGGACUCGCGGCCUAUCAGCUUGUUGGUGAGGUAAUGGCUCACCAAGGCGACGACGGGUAGCCGGCCUGAGAGGGUGACCGGCCACACUGGGACUGAGACACGGCCCAGACUCCUACGGGAGGCAGCAGUGGGGAAUAUUGCACAAUGGGCGCAAGCCUGAUGCAGCGACGCCGCGUGAGGGAUGACGGCCUUCGGGUUGUAAACCUCUUUCAGUAGGGAAGAAGCGAGAGUGACGGUACCUGCAGAAGAAGCGCCGGCUAACUACGUGCCAGCAGCCGCGGUAAUACGUAGGGCGCAAGCGUUAUCCGGAUUUAUUGGGCGUAAAGAGCUCGUAGGCGGUUUGUCGCGUCUAUCGUGAAAGUCCGAGGCUCAACCUCGGAUCUGCGGUGGGUACGGGCAGACUAGAGUGAUGUAGGGGAGACUGGAAUUCCUGGUGUAGCGGUGAAAUGCGCAGAUAUCAGGAGGAACACCGAUGGCGAAGGCAGGUCUCUGGGCAUUUACUGACGCUGAGGAGCGAAAGCAUGGGGAGCGAACAGGAUUAGAUACCCUGGUAGUCCAUGCCGUAAACGUUGGGCACUAGGUGUGGGGGACAUUCCACGUUUUCCGCGCCGUAGCUAACGCAUUAAGUGCCCCGCCUGGGGAGUACGGCCGCAAGGCUAAAACUCAAAGGAAUUGAC